GUAGUGAAGUUGGCCUAUCACGCCUCCCUGUCACGGAGGAGAUCGCCGGUUCGAAUCCCGCC
Molecule: transfer RNA, 62 nt
Filed under: Candidatus Saccharibacteria bacterium RAAC3_TM7_1
Lineage: Bacteria; Candidatus Saccharimonadota
Rfam family: tRNA
About the family: Transfer RNA (tRNA) molecules are approximately 80 nucleotides in length. Their secondary structure includes four short double-helical elements and three loops (D, anti-codon, and T loops).
Source: Rfam by way of RNAcentral